This is a long non-coding RNA of Glycine soja, 498 nucleotides long. RefSeq lists it as uncharacterized. The record is from RefSeq and is a predicted model, not a curated record. The transcript has 3 exons. NCBI's taxonomy places the organism in Eukaryota, Viridiplantae, Streptophyta, Magnoliopsida, Fabales, Fabaceae.
AUGUUUCUGCUCUAUUUUGCAUUUUUCCUUAAAAAAUGCUCAAUAUAAGACCAACUUCAUUAAAUUAUAAGUCAAGUCACAAACCUCACUUUGCAUUGUUUGAUCAUGUUACUAGCCCAAUUUUCAAAUCCACUUGAUACACAACACCUCCAACAUUUAAAGCAUUCAUGAUAUAAUAAUUCACUAUUUUAUUAUUACUUUGAUAUUCCGCAGUGCAACUUAUAAAAAGAGUUAAAACAUUCCACAUGCAAAAAUAACCCUUGAGCUGCUUGCACAGCCAUGUACCUUGGCAAUCAUUCAAACGCCCCUGCAAGAUUAACUUUUUAGAAACAACAAUUAAGACUGCACAAUUGCCAAGCAACUCAAUCUACGAGAAACCAUCAGCUUCAGCCCAUCUCGAAAAUGAGCAUAACAUUGUCAACAAUGACAAGUAGGAUAAGUAAUCCAAUUAUCAGGCGACCCUUCAUCCUACAAUUUAGCGCCGCCUUCCACAACGAU